ACUGCUCAGUAACACGUGGCUAAUCUGCCCUUAGGACGAGAACAACCCCGGGAAACUGGGGCUAACUCUUGAUAGGUGAAGAACUCUGGAAUGAGUCUUUGCCUAAAUAGAUUCACGUUAUCCUCGUGAAUUUGCCUAAGGAUGAGGCCGCGACCGAUCAGGUUGUUGGCGAGGUAAUGGCUCACCAAGCCUUUUACCGGUGCGGGCCGUGGGAGCGGGAGCCCGGAGAUGGGUACUGAGACAAGGACCCAGGCCCUACGGGGCGCAGCAGUCGCGAAACCUUUGCAAUAAGCGCAAGCUUGACAGGGCUAUCCCGAGUGCCAUCCGCUGAGGAAGGCUUUUACCCAGUCUAGAACGCUGGGGGAAUAAGGAGAGGGCAAGUCUGGUGUCAGCCGCCGCGGUAAUACCAGCUCUCCGAGUGGUGUGGAUGUUUAUUGGGCCUAAAGCAUCCGUAGCUGGCUAGGUAAGUCCCUUGUUAAAUCCACCGAAUUAAUCGUUGGAUCGCGGGGGAUACUGCUUGGCUAGGGGACGAGAGAGGCAGACGGUAUUUUCGGGGUAGGGGUGAAAUCCUAUAAUCCCGGGAAGACCACCAGUGGCGAAGGCUGUCUGCUAGAACGCGCCCGACGGUGAGGGAUGAAAGCUGGGGGAGCGAACCGGAUUAGAUACCCGGGUAGUCCCAGCUGUAAACGAUGCAGACUAGGUGUUUGGACGGCCACGUGCCGUUCUAGUGCCGCAGGGAAGCUGUUAAGUCUGCCGCCUGGGGAGUACGAUCGCAAGAUUGAAACUUAAAGGAAUUGGCGGGGGAG
RNAcentral lists this ribosomal RNA (806 nucleotides) under uncultured archaeon. RNAcentral's name for it is "bacterial SSU rRNA". It matches the Rfam family "Archaeal small subunit ribosomal RNA", at positions 85 to 876 of the family's 1478-position model. The record is from RNAcentral.